This 104-nucleotide small nuclear RNA is filed under the name Jaculus jaculus (lesser Egyptian jerboa). Lineage: Eukaryota; Metazoa; Chordata; Mammalia; Rodentia; Dipodidae. The record is from RNAcentral.
GAGCUAAUUUUGGCAGUGUAUAUACUACAAUUGCUCCAAUGCAGAGUUUAGCAUGGCCUCCAUGCAAGGAUAACAUGCAGAUUCAUGAAGUGUUGCAUAUUUAA